RNAcentral lists this ribosomal RNA (516 nucleotides) under uncultured bacterium. Its description in RNAcentral is "bacterial SSU rRNA". It matches the Rfam family "Bacterial small subunit ribosomal RNA", at positions 28 to 497 of the family's 1533-position model. The record is from RNAcentral.
GACGAACGCUGGCGGCGUGGAUUAGGCAUGCAAGUCGAACGGUAUAAACCUUUCGGGGUUUAGAGAGUGGCGAACGGGUGAGUAACACGUAGGUAAUCUACCCUCAAAACGGGGACAACCCAGGGAAACUUGGGCUAAUACCGGAUGCGUGCAAACAAUGUUUUGGCUGUUGUAAUUAUUCACGGAAGUGAAUAGUUAUGAGAGUUCAGAGCAUAAUUUGCAUAAAAGGUGGCGUAAGCUGUCGUUUGAGGAUGAGCCUGCGUCCUAUUAGUUAGUUGGUGAGGUAAUGGCUUACCAAGGCGAUGAUAGAUAGGCGGCCUUAACGGGUGGUCGCCCACACUGGGAUUGAGAUACGGCCCAGACUCCUACGGGAGGCAGCAGUCGAGAAUAGUCUACAAUGGCCGGAAGGCUGAUAGUGCGACGCCGCGUGAACGAGGGAGCCCUUCGGGGUGUAAAGUUCUUUUCUAUUACGAGCAGUGCUUAUAUAUAAUGGAUAGUAGUAUAUAGAGGGAUAGU